RNAcentral lists this long non-coding RNA (1887 nucleotides) under Sinocyclocheilus grahami. RNAcentral's name for it is "lncRNA (ENSSGRG00000012058.1)". Lineage: Eukaryota; Metazoa; Chordata; Actinopteri; Cypriniformes; Cyprinidae. The record is from RNAcentral.
AAAGAGAGAAAUCCAUUGGUCCCCCCUCUUGUGUUCUGUGACGCAGAACGACUCGCAUCAUCCGUCCAAUAAAACGGUUCACUUUCCGACCAACGCGAGCACAAUAAUAAUGUGUCACUCAUCCUAUAAAAGAAUGCGUCUUGCUCUGUGAGUCUCUGUGUGAUCACUGAAGGCUGUUGUGGAUGUCUCAUGUAUCUCAUUUUUAUUGUUUAAAUGAGAAGUAUUGGAAGUAAACACAUGAACAGAUGAAGACACAAAGCAGUGAAACAUGAAGCUCAUCAGAUGGAGCAGCUCCAAAGAUAGACGACUGAAUUGUAAAGGAAAACAAACGCUGAUGUUAGUCAGAAGGAACAGCAUUCCUGGCAAAAGACCAAGCUUUUCUCAAGAUGCAGACGGCUUCAUUCUGAUGCUUCAGAAAGAGUCACAGACUCUCACACAUCAGACCCAGCAGCUGAUUUCUGAUCCUGGAGACUGAGCUUCCUAUAGAGUCCAGCUUUCUGGAGAUCAAGCCGGUGUUCCUGGAGAUUUGGUUUGGAGCUCAUCUUUGCAGGAGCAGGAUCAGGAUCCUGAGGGGAAACGGUGAUCAACAUGCACCUGAUAAUGUUAACUGUGUUUUAUAGUCCUAAAUUUAUCGUUCUUAGUGUGAACGGGGCUUUAGAAUGAGUUUUUAUACAGAUUCAUGUUAUUUUGAAUCACUGAUUACUGUAUGUAGUGCACUGCACACUGUAUGAUAUUAUAUGUAAUAUAGCAUGGUGCAGCAAUGCCAGUGUCAUAGGUUUAAAUCCCAGAGAAUGCAUGAAGUCAUAAGAUAUAUAGCUUUAACACAGUGAUUAUUAAACCCUUAUACUGCACACUUUUCAUUUCUCCUUAAAGUCUGAUGCAUGCAAUUAAGGUUGUGGGGUGAACUAGAAUACAAUUUUAUUUAUAAAACUGUAUUGCAAUAAAUCUGUACUACCCCAGGGAAUAAAACUGGUUUACACUUGUAAAAAAGAAAAAAAGGAACAAAGGCUCUUUAUUUAAACUGCUUGUUUGUUUAUUUUCAUGAUUAACUUUAUCUUUCAAUGGAUAAACAACAGCAAGAGUAAACAAUGUGUUUUGAUUGAACAUCAUUAAAGCAGGGAUCUGUUCUUUAAUGUACAAGAUCAGACAUUAAAACAUCUACAUGAAAUCAUCAGUAUUACACUUGAGAAAAAUCACAUCAACAUCUACAAUGGAAUCUAUAAGUGUAAAUUACAGGAGUGAUGCACAUUUUAUUCAGCCUGCCGAUUAUUAUAUAUUUUGACAUUAUACUAUGUCCUUAAAUUCAUUAUAGCACUAAUAAAGAGAUGCUUCAAACACAUUGUCACUUUAAUUAAAAAAUAUAGAUACAUACAUAUAUAUAUAUAUAUAUAUAUAUAUAUAUUCCAGUCAUCAAAAUCAAACAGAAAUGUAACUUAAUUUCAUAAAAACACACAAAUAAAACAUCCUGACACAGUAAUGAGAAUUUGGAGGUAAAAUUUAAAUAUCACGACAAUAAUGUCAAAAUGUAAAAAUAUAGCCUAUUAAUAGAACUGAAAUCCUGCUGCAAUUUAGACCUGGACAUGUUUCUUUGAGAUUCAUAUUUGUAUUUAUAAAAUCCAUAUCAUACAACAGCUGACAGAGUAAGAUGGGGAAGUUGCCGCAAGAACAAUGUGGAUUUACUUUUACAUUUUAAUUUUUAAAUAAAAGUUCAGUAUGUGCAGGAUGAUAAUACAUCAGCCAAUGUGUUAUUAAAUAAACAGAAACAUUUGCUAAUUUAGUUGUUAUAGCACAAGAUCUCAAAAUAUUUAUUUUGAGAUCACGGAAAAAUUAAGAUGACGAGAAAAUAACUUUUAAUAAGUCGUGAUGACGAGAAAACAAGAAAUAAAA